Molecule: non-coding RNA, 48 nt
Filed under: Drosophila melanogaster (fruit fly)
Lineage: Eukaryota; Metazoa; Arthropoda; Insecta; Diptera; Drosophilidae
Description: K10 TLS RNA from Drosophila melanogaster (PDB 2KUU, chain A)
Rfam family: K10 transport/localisation element (TLS)
About the family: This family represents the 44 nucleotide K10 transport/localisation element (TLS) from Drosophila melanogaster. K10 TLS is responsible for the transport and anterior localisation of K10 mRNA and acts to establish dorsoventral polarity in the oocyte.
Source: RNAcentral
GGCUUGAUUGUAUGUGUAAAUUAAUUCUUACACACUACAAAUUAAGCC